Molecule: ribosomal RNA, 482 nt
Filed under: uncultured bacterium
Lineage: Bacteria
Description: bacterial LSU rRNA
Rfam family: Bacterial large subunit ribosomal RNA
Source: RNAcentral
CGUGGUGGAUGCCUAGGCGAUGAGAGGCGAUGAAGGACGUGGACAGCUGCGAUAAGCCACGGGGAGCCGCUCACAGGCUUUGAUCCGUGGAUUUCCGAAUGGGGAAACCCAGCUGGGAGUGAUCCCAGAUACCCGACGACUGAAUUCAUAGGUUUUCGGGAGCCAACCCGGGGAAGUGAAACAUCUCAGUACCCGGAGGAAAAGAGACCAAGUCAGGAACUCCCUCAGUAGCGGCGAGCGAACGGGGAUCAGGCCAAACCCGACGUAGUGAUACGGCGGGGGUUGUAGGGUCCGUGAUGUGGGACUUCGAGCGCGAGCGGAGCAGGCAUGGAAAGGCCGGCCAUAGAGGGUGACAGCCCCGUAUGCGAAGCGUGAGGAGCCCUAACGGAUACCUGAGUACCGCAGGACACGUGCAAUCCGGCGGGAAUCCGGCGGGACCAUCCGCCAAGCCUAAGUACUACUCAUCGACCGAUAGUGAACGA